AACGAACGCUGGCGGCAUGCCUAACACAUGCAAGUCGAACGAGACCUUCGGGUCUAGUGGCGCACGGGUGCGUAACGCGUGGGAACCUGCCCUUAGGUUCGGAAUAACUCCCCGAAAGGGGUGCUAAUACCGGAUAAUUUCUUCGGACCAAAGAUUUAUCGCCUUUGGAUGGGCCCGCGUUGGAUUGGUUAGUUGGUAGGGUAAAAGCCAACCAAGGCGACGUGCCAUAGCUGGGCUGGUAGGAUGACAAGCCACACUGGGACUGAGACACGGCCCAGACUGCCACGGGAGGCAGCAGUGGGGAAUAUUGGACAAUGGGCGAAAGCCUGAUCCAGCAAUGCCGCGUGAGUGAUGAAGGCCUUAGGGUUGUAAAGCUCUUUUACCCGGGAUGAUAAUGACAGUACCGGGAGAAUAAGCUCCGGCUAACUCCGUG
Molecule: ribosomal RNA, 433 nt
Filed under: uncultured bacterium
Lineage: Bacteria
Description: partial 16S ribosomal RNA
Rfam family: Bacterial small subunit ribosomal RNA
Source: RNAcentral